RNA transcript from Prunus dulcis (almond), 3359 nucleotides. It is a transcript of the gene named regulator of MON1-CCZ1 complex, with no coding region annotated. The transcript is spliced from 18 exons. Lineage: Eukaryota; Viridiplantae; Streptophyta; Magnoliopsida; Rosales; Rosaceae. The record is from RefSeq and is a predicted model, not a curated record.
AAACCCGCAGUUCGUUGACGCCUGACACGACUGUUAGGUUGUUCGGUACCUUCUUUCCCGUUCCUAAACACAGUCACAGUCCGAGUCCCUGAGAUCUUCGCCUUCUCUGUUAAUCGUCCGUACAAUCACCCAAAAACUCCAGAUGGUCAAUUUACCAGUACUGUGGAUAUGAAAGAGAGGAACUCUACAUCCACGCUUAAACGCAUUUUAGUGACUUGUGCAGCACAGGGAAAAGAAUAUGGGGGUUGUGUUGCAGCAAAGGUUCCACAAGUUGAACGUGAUAUGUGCUUGAAAGAAUUUCUUGCAUUAAAGAGUUGCAUGCAAAACGUGCUGCGAGGAAAGGCUUGAACCAGCAAGCGUGAUUCUUCAGUGCUUGGACACAGUAGUUGGAACUGUUCUAAAAAAGCGUUGAGGCUGGUUUAGGAUUAUCAGCAGCAGUACUUGCUAAACCCUGCAAUAACUCUUCAAAAGUCUGAAAAUCAAGAUGUCUGGAAAAGCAUCAAGUUCACAGUCUAGUAUUGGUUUGAGUGGGUCUGGUGCUCUUUCACAUGUUUAUAUUCCAUAUCUGCCCCUAAGAUGCAGCGUAGCUGGAUCAAGGGGUUUAUUUUAUGAUGAUGGCAAUAAGCUGCUGCUUUCCCCAACAUCAGAUCAGGUCUUCUGUUGGAAAACUGUUCCUUUUGAUCCUGUGGUUACUCCUACCUCUGAUUCAAUUAGUGAAGGGCCCAUCUUAUCCAUUCGAUAUUCGUUAGAUGCAAAGUUUAUAGCAGUCCAAAGAUCUGAUCAUGAGAUACAGUUUUGGGAUAGAGGAAGUGGGGAAACUUUUAGUCAGAGGUGCAGGUCAGAGUCAGAGAGCAUACUGGGAUUUUUUUGGACAGAUUGUCCAAUGUGUGAUGUUGUAUUUGUAAAGACCAGUGGGCUGGACUUGUUUGCUUACAAUUCUGAGUCAAGAUCACUCCAAUUGGUCGAGACAAGGAAAUUACAUGUGAGUUGGUAUGUUUACACACAUGAAAGUCGCUUGGUUCUUCUUGCUUCAGGAAUGCAGUGCAAAAUCUUCAAUGGUUUUCAGCUCUCAUCUGCAGGGAUUAUUCGUCUGCCAAAGUUUGAGAUGGCAAUGGCUAAAUCUGAGGCUAACAAUAAACCUGUCCUUGCUGCUGAAGAUAUUUUUAUAGCCACUAUCUAUGGUAGAAUAUACUGCCUGCAAGUUGAUAGGAUUGCAAUGCUCCUCCAUUCUUAUAGGUUUUACCGUGAUGUGGUUGUACAACAGGGUUCUUUGCCAAUUUAUUCAAGCAAGGUUGCUGUGAGUGUGGUUGAUAAUGUACUGCUUGUGCAUCAAGUGGAUGCGAAGGUUGUUAUACUGUAUGAUAUAUUUGCAGAUUCUCGGGCACCCAUAUCGGCCCCACUUCCUCUACUAUUCAGGGGUUUCCCCAGGUCCAAUUCUUCUUCCCUGCGACCGAAUAGGGAAGAUACUGAAAGUUCAGAAGUUAAUGUUAUGAGUGACCAUGAAGCAAUCGUCUAUGGAGAUGACUGGAGUUUUCUUGUUCCUGACCUCAUAUGUGAUGUUGUUAAUCAACUUUUGUGGAAGAUUCAUUUAGAUUUGGAGGCAAUUUCUGCCAGUAGCUCAGAAGUACCAUCAGUACUUGAAUUCUUGCAGCGGCGGAAAUUGGAAGCCAAUAAGGCUAAACAAUUGUGCUUGUCAAUAGCGCGUACUGUUAUUCUAGAACGGAGACCUGUGUCUACAGUUUCCCGGGCAAUAGAUGUUUUAGUUUCUUCCUACUCCCACUCUGUUAAGACAGGCACCUAUAUUAAGGGGAUAAAGUCUGGAAAAACAUCACCUUCUAUUGUGCCACAGACGAGUGGCCCUAGGUCCAGUGCUGAUGUAUCUGCAAGUAGAGUGUGUGCAGUUGGAAAAUCCAUUAAACAUGAAUCUGCGGCUGGAGUGGACAGUGAAUCGCCGAAUAGAUUUUUAAACAUUUCAGAUUCCGACUCUGAGGAUAUUGCAAGCUUUGAACCCCCAAGGACCACUUCAAAUAACGUUCAAUUGUUUGAUGGUAAAUUGGCCAGGGGGAAAUUAACGGGUGCUGAAACUUCUGGUGGUGAAGUUCGGUCUUCUUCUCUAAGAUCGGGCAACAGCCCAUUGGAUGCUAAUGUUUUGGAGCAGCAAGAGUCCCAACCUACCUCUCCAGUAAUUUCAUCUGAUGAAAUGUACAGUUUUGUGUUUGCUCCUGUUGAGGAAGAGAUGAUUGGAGAACCUUCUUACUUGGUUGCCAUCAUUGUUGAGUUUCUUCGCAGCGCUAAUUUGGAAAAGGUUGAAGUCCAUCCUAAUCUCUAUGUUCUGACCAUACAAUUACUUUCACGCAGUGAGCGAUAUGCAGAACUUGGGCAGUUUGUCUUAAACAAGAUUCUUGAACCUUCUAGAGAAGUAGCAAUGCAACUCCUAGAGUCUGGCCGUCAGCACUCCCUGACAAGGAAGUUGGGUUUAGAUAUGCUGAGGCAGCUUUCUUUGCAUCAUGACUAUGUACUGUUACUAGUGCAAGAUGGAUAUUACCUUGAAGCAUUACGCUAUGCACGGAAAUACAAGGUCAGUACCGUACGAGCUUCAUUGUUUCUCGAGUCAGCAUUUACCUCCAAUGACUUGCAACAUUUAGCUGCCGUCCUUAGAUUCUUUUCGGAUUUCAUUCCUGGAUUCAGAGACACAUCAGAUCACGACACUUACUACCGCAUUCUCAACGAGAGAAACUCAUCCAUUGCUGCUUGAAUUUCCUCAUAGUAUGCCUAGGACAACAGAAUAAUGCCAUAAUUACGAAGUGCGUUAGAGCUGUAUAAGUAUUCAGAACUCCUUUUGCAAGUACCACAUAUCAGCUUAGGUGAUUAAAAGUCGUGUGGCGUGGACUUAUUGCUCCGAAUUCUUUUAAGGGAGCAGAUGUAGGGUUCCGGAAAAAUUUACCCUCCAAAACUCAGAAAUUUCUCUUAUCCAACACAACUAGCAGCUAGAGCAUCUCAAGAGGUUGAGAAAGCAUACUUGGAUCGACAGAAAUGGUGGGCGGAAGUGAGAGAACGAGCUCCCAAAAAAUUUCAGAAAAAUUGUUGGAACCGGCCUGUUUCGUGGCUGUUUCCGACUACUGCAGUGGCGGAUUGAGGCUAAGAGGGGCAGGGCUGAUAGAGGAAAGUGAGGUGGUUCGUUUGGGACUGGUCUUGCCUGAAACGGUGGCCCGAGUUGGGAGAAAUCGCUGUCUGAAGUUGGCUGGUCGUGGUGGUCGCAAGAGAGAAGAAAAUCUGAGUUUUUAAAACUGAACAUCGAAAUAUUUACGGUUAUGCAAACUUCUUCGUUACAACUCCGAUUUGAGCCCACUACGUGUCUA